GCCAUGCAUGUCUAAGUACAGACCGCUACGAACGGUGACACCGCGAAUGGCUCAUUAGAUCGAUCAUUGUUCCUUAGAUCGUACGUGAUAACCACGAAUUGGAUAACUGUGGUAAUUCUAGAGCUAAUACAUGCGACGAAGCUCUGCCGGCCUUUAAGGUGGUGCUCUCGGGUGCCGCCUGGGGUCGAUUGAAGAGCGCUUUUAUUAGACUACGAGAGACCGGACCCGGGCGACCGGGUUUCCGCGUGUGGUGACUCUGAAUAACUUUGCCGAUCGCAGUCCCCUUUCGAGGUGGACGGCGACGUAUCUUUCAAGUGUUCGGCCUAUCAAGUUUCGACGGUAGCCGCCUUGGCUACCGUGCUGUUGACGGGUACCGGGGAAUCGGGGUUCGAUUCCGGAGAGGGAGCAUGAGAAACGGCUACCACGUCCAAGGAAGGCAGCAGGCGCGCAAAUUACCCACUCCCGGCACGGGGAGGUAGUGACGAAAAAUACCGAUGCGGGGGCUCUUGACGAGCCGCCGUAAUCUGGACUGAGUACACUUUAAAUCCUUGGUUUAACGAGGAUCUACUGGAGGGCAAGUCUGGUGCCAGCAGCCGCGGUAAUUCCAGCUCCAGUAGCGUAUACUAAAGUUGUUGCAGUUAAAAAGCUCGUAGUUGGAUGUUGGAUCGGUGGGGUCGGGUCUCGCCGAUGGUGAGCUACUCGACUUCGAACGGUGUCCGAAAUGCGCGGGAAGGGGUCGGCUAUCGGCUGAUCUGUCCCGAGUACGAUUUACUUUGAAAAAAUUAGAGUGUUCAAAGCAAGCGCACUGCCGCUUGAAUAUUGAAAGCAUGGAAUAAUGGAACAGGACCUCUGGUCUCACCGUCUCUCCGGGGCAUUCAGGUUGGUCGAUCGCUCCUCACGGGGUGUGACUCUUAGCCGGUUUGCUUUGGUGACUGGAGGUAAUGAUUAAAAGGGACGGACGGGGGCAUUUGUAUUGCGACGUGAGAGGUGAAAUUCUUGGACCGUCGCAAGACAGACUGGUGCGAAAGCGUUUGCCAAGGACGUUUUCAUUAAUCAAGAGCGAAAGUCAGAGGAUCGAAGACGAUCAGAUACCGUCGUAGUUCUGACCGUAAACGAUGUCGACCGGGGAUCGGCGGCGCGUCGUUGUUUGAAUACGAGUGACCUCGCCGGCACCCCUUUCCCUCCGGGAAACCUUUGAGUUUUUGGAUUCCGGGGGGAGUAUGGUUGCAAAGCUGAAACUUAAAGGAAUUGACGGAAGGGCACCACCAGGAGUGGAGCCUGCGGCUUAAUUUGACUCAACACGCGAAAACUCACCUAGCCAAGACACUGUGAGGAUUGACAGAUUGAGAGCUCUUUCUCGAUUCGGUGGAUGGUGGUGCAUGGCCGUUCUUAGUUGGUGGAGUGAUUUGUCUGGUUGAUUCCGAUAACGAACGAGACUCUGGCCUACUAACUAGUAGGGUGCGUUGCUAGACUCUUCCCCUCUCUUCGGAGUGGUGGGAGGUCGUUUGCCGGCAGCCUCUCUGCUUCCGCGCCUUUCGGGGUGGCGGGGUAGUGUGGGUUUCGUCGGCGCGCGCUCGAGCUUGAAGCGAACUUCUUAGAGGGACAAGCGGCUUCGAAGUCGCGCGAGAUAGAGCAAUAACAGGUCUGUGAUGCCCUUAGAUGUCUAGGGCAGCACGCGCGCUACACUGAAGGUGUGAGGUGGGUGUAUAUCGUCCCGCUCCGAGAGGAGCGGGUAAACCGCUGAACUACCUUCGUGGCUUGGGAUCGGGGCUUGUAACUAUUGCCCGUGAACGAGGAAUUCCCAGUAAGCGCGAGUCAUCAGCUCGCGUUGAUUACGUCCCUGCCCUUUGUACACACCGCCCGUCGCUACUACCGAUCGGAUGAUUUAGCGAGGCCUUCGGAUCGGUCGCUCUCACCCUCUUGUAGGGAGGAAGCAGACCGAGAAGACGGUCGAACUUGACCAUCUAGAGGAAGUAAA
This 1978-nucleotide ribosomal RNA is filed under the name Fabriciola liguronis. RNAcentral describes it as "SSU rRNA". It matches the Rfam family "Eukaryotic small subunit ribosomal RNA". Lineage: Eukaryota; Metazoa; Annelida; Polychaeta; Sabellida; Fabriciidae. The record is from RNAcentral.